RNAcentral lists this unclassified non-coding RNA (217 nucleotides) under plant metagenome. Its description in RNAcentral is "partial contains small subunit ribosomal RNA, internal transcribed spacer 1, and 5.8S ribosomal RNA". The record is from RNAcentral.
UCUCCGUAGGUGAACCUGCGGAGGGAUCAUUACAAGUGACCCCGGUCUUACCACCGGGAUGUUCAUAACCCUUUGUUGUCCGACUCUGUUGCCUCCGGGGCGACCCUGCCUUCGGGCGGGGGCUCCGGGUGGACACUUCAAACUCUUGCGUAACUUUGCAGUCUGAGUAAACUUAAUUAAUAAAUUAAAACUUUUAACAACGGAUCUCUUGGCUCUC